AGCAGCCGCGGUAAUUCCAGCUACAAUAGCGUAUAUUAAAGUUGUUGCAGUUAAAAAGCUCGUAGUUGAAUUUCGGGGUUAGUAGGUUGGUCAUGCCUCUGGUAUGUACUGGUCUCACUGAUUCCUCCUUCCUGAUGAACCUUAAUCCCAUUAAUUUGGUGUUUUGGGGGAAUUUGGACUGUUACUUUGAAAAAAUUAGAGUGUUUAAAGCAAGCUAACGCUUGAAUACAUUAGCAUGGAAUAAUGAAAUAGGACGUUCGAUCCUAUUUUGUUGGUUUCUAGGAUUGACGUAAUGAUUAAUAGGGAUAGUUGGGGGCAUUAGUAUUCAAUUGUCAGAGGUGAAAUUCUUGGAUUUAUUGAAGACUAACUACUGCGAAAGCAUUUGCCAAGGAUGUUUUCAUUAAUCAAGAACGAAAGUUAGGGGAUCGAAGACGAUCAGAUACCGUCGUAGUCUUAACCAUAAACUAUGCCGACUAGGGGAUCGGAUGAUGUUAAUUUUUUAAUGACUCAUUCGGCGCCU
Molecule: ribosomal RNA, 520 nt
Filed under: uncultured Glomus
Lineage: Eukaryota; Fungi; Glomeromycota; Glomeromycetes; Glomerales; Glomeraceae
Description: SSU rRNA
Rfam family: Eukaryotic small subunit ribosomal RNA
Source: RNAcentral